This 465-nucleotide ribosomal RNA is filed under the name uncultured bacterium. Its description in RNAcentral is "partial 16S ribosomal RNA". It matches the Rfam family "Bacterial small subunit ribosomal RNA", at positions 338 to 795 of the family's 1533-position model. The record is from RNAcentral.
CCUACGGGGUGCAGCAGUAGGGAAUCUUCCACAAUGGGCGAAAGCCUGAUGGAGCAACGCCGCGUGGGUGAAGAAGGUCUUCGGAUCGUAAAACCCUGUUGUUAGAGAAGAAAGUGCGUGAGAGUAACUGUUCACGUUUCGACGGUAUCUAACCAGAAAGCCACGGCUAACUACGUGCCAGCAGCCGCGGGAAUACGUAGGUGGCAAGCGUUAUCCGGAUUUAUUGGGCGUAAAGGGAACGCAGGCGGUCUUUUAAGUCUGAUGUGAAAGCCUUCGGCUUAACCGGAGUAGUGCAUUGGAAACUGGGAGACGUGAGUGCAGAAGAGGAGAGUGGAACUCCAUGUGUAGCGGUGAAAUGCGUAGAUAUAUGGAAGAACACCAGUGGCGAAAGCGGCUCUCUGGUCUGUAACUGACGCUGAGGUUCGAAAGCGUGGGUAGCAAACAGGAUUAGAUACCCUGGUAGUC